GUUCCAAGGAUCCUGGGCAAGAAUAUUAGGAGCCUGAGGGGUACCCAAAGGAAACCCAUCUAUGUGACCCAACUUGGGCUGAUUGAAUGCAAACCAGAGCAGAAAGAAGCAGAAACACAAUUAUGGACUUAGGAAACGGUUUGAAACUAACGGGGCAGAGGGAGUUUGACAGAGAGGAGAACAAAUCGCUGACAAAGAACCUUUUACGUUUCAUCAGCGUUGUUAGGACGACAAGCAGGAAUGUCUCAGAUAAUAACUCCCACUUCAA
Homo sapiens (human) is the source of this 268-nucleotide long non-coding RNA. Ensembl annotates it as ZIC4 antisense RNA 1. Its record names the gene ZIC4-AS1. Lineage: Eukaryota; Metazoa; Chordata; Mammalia; Primates; Hominidae. The record is from Ensembl.